This 72-nucleotide transfer RNA is filed under the name Cuscuta macrocephala. Its description in RNAcentral is "tRNA-Gln". It matches the Rfam family "tRNA". Rfam says of the family: Transfer RNA (tRNA) molecules are approximately 80 nucleotides in length. Their secondary structure includes four short double-helical elements and three loops (D, anti-codon, and T loops). Further hydrogen bonds mediate the characteristic L-shaped molecular structure. tRNAs have two regions of fundamental functional importance: the anti-codon, which is responsible for specific mRNA codon recognition, and the 3' end, to which the tRNAs corresponding amino acid is attached (by aminoacyl-tRNA synthetases). tRNAs cope with the degeneracy of the genetic code in two manners: having more than one tRNA (with a specific anti-codon) for a particular amino acid; and 'wobble' base-pairing, i.e. permitting non-standard base-pairing at the 3rd anti-codon position. Lineage: Eukaryota; Viridiplantae; Streptophyta; Magnoliopsida; Solanales; Convolvulaceae. The record is from RNAcentral.
UGGGGCGUGGCCAAGGGGUAAGGCAACGGGUUUUGGUCCCGCGAUUCGUAGGUUCGAAUCCUUCCGUCCCAG